UACGUAGGGGGCAAGCGUUGUCCGGAAUUAUUGGGCGUAAAGCGCGCGCAGGCGGUCAUUUAAGUCUGGUGUUUAAUCCCGGGGCUCAACCCCGGAUCGCACUGGAAACUGGGUGACUUGAGUGCAGAAGAGGAGAGUGGAAUUCCACGUGUAGCGGUGAAAUGCGUAGAUAUUGGGAAGAACACCGGUGGCGAAGGCGGCUCACUGGCUCAUUACUGACGCUCAGGCGCGACAGCGUGGGGAUCAAACAGG
Molecule: ribosomal RNA, 252 nt
Filed under: uncultured bacterium
Lineage: Bacteria
Description: partial 16S ribosomal RNA
Rfam family: Bacterial small subunit ribosomal RNA
Source: RNAcentral